This 74-nucleotide transfer RNA is filed under the name Candidatus Saganbacteria bacterium CG08_land_8_20_14_0_20_45_16. Its description in RNAcentral is "tRNA-Val". It matches the Rfam family "tRNA". From Rfam's summary of the family: Transfer RNA (tRNA) molecules are approximately 80 nucleotides in length. Their secondary structure includes four short double-helical elements and three loops (D, anti-codon, and T loops). Further hydrogen bonds mediate the characteristic L-shaped molecular structure. tRNAs have two regions of fundamental functional importance: the anti-codon, which is responsible for specific mRNA codon recognition, and the 3' end, to which the tRNAs corresponding amino acid is attached (by aminoacyl-tRNA synthetases). tRNAs cope with the degeneracy of the genetic code in two manners: having more than one tRNA (with a specific anti-codon) for a particular amino acid; and 'wobble' base-pairing, i.e. permitting non-standard base-pairing at the 3rd anti-codon position. Lineage: Bacteria; Bacillati. The record is from RNAcentral.
GGGCGGUUAGCUCAGCUGGUUAGAGCGCCUGCUUCACACGCAGGAGGUCACUGGUUCGAUCCCAGUAUCGCCCA